CUGACGCAGCGACGCGCGUGGAGGAUGAAGGUUUUCGGAUCGUAAACUCCUGUCAGAAGGGAAGAAACCUGCAAAAAGUAAUAUGUUUUGCAGCUGACGGUACCUUCAGAGGAAGCACCGGCUAAUUCCGUGCCAGCAGCCGCGGUAAUACGGAAGGUGCAAGCGUUAAGCGGAAUCACUGGGCGUAAAGCGCUCGUAGGUGGCUUUGUAAGUCAGGUGUGAAAGCCCACGGCUCAACCGUGGAAUUGCACUUGAUACUGCAUUGCUUGAGUUCGGGAGAGGGUAGUGGAAUUCCAGGUGUAGGAGUGAAAUCCGUAGAGAUCUGGAGGAACACCAGUGGCGAAGGCGACUACCUGGACCGAUACUGACACUGAGGAGCGAAAGCGUGGGGAGCAAACAGGAUUAGAUACCCUGGUAGUCCACGCUGUAAACGAUGGAUACUAGGUGUCGGGGCUUGACUUCGCGUGCCGUAGCUAACGAGUUAAGUAUCCAA
Molecule: ribosomal RNA, 493 nt
Filed under: delta proteobacterium RS63
Lineage: Bacteria; Deltaproteobacteria
Description: bacterial SSU rRNA
Rfam family: Bacterial small subunit ribosomal RNA
Source: RNAcentral